GUCCUUACGGGUAUUUAUGUAAGGUCUGACCUGCCCAAUGACUUUUAGUUUAAUGGCCGCGGUAUAUUGACUGUGCGAAGGUAGCAUAAUAAUUAGUUUUUUAAUUGAGGGCUAGAAUGAACGGUCGAACAAAAAACUAGCUGUCUCUGGAUUACAUCUUGAAUUUAACAUUUAAGUGAAAAGGCUUAGAUAUGUUAGGGGGACGAUAAGACCCUAUAAAUCUUUAUAUUUUAGAGUGAGUUAGUUGAGGAAAUAUGAUAGAGUGCUUAGUUAAUGGUUUGAAAUAUUUUGUUGGGGUGACAGAGGUAUAAGACUAACUGCCUUAGAUUUAUGGUUAGUGAUAUUUAUUUGGGUGAUCCUUUAUUAUGGAUUAUUAGAUUAAGUUACUUUAGGGAUAACAGCGUAAUUUUUUUUGAGAGUUCAUAUCGAAAAUUAAGUUUGCGACCUCGAUGUUGAAUUAAAGGCCCUCCUAUGGUGUAGGCGUUAUAAGAGGAGGUCCUGUUCGACCUUAAAUCUU
This 517-nucleotide ribosomal RNA is filed under the name Bathyarctus rubens. Its description in RNAcentral is "partial 16S ribosomal RNA". It matches the Rfam family "Bacterial large subunit ribosomal RNA", at positions 1829 to 2596 of the family's 2925-position model. The record is from RNAcentral. Lineage: Eukaryota; Metazoa; Arthropoda; Malacostraca; Decapoda; Scyllaridae.